CCUACGGGUGGCUGCAGUGGGGAAUAUUGGACAAUGGGGGGAACCCUGAUCCAGCCAUGCCGCGUGUGUGAAGAAGGCCCUCGGGUUGUAAAGCACUUUCAGUGAGGAAGAACGCCUGGUGGUUAAUACCCAUCAGGAAAGACAUCACUCACAGAAGAAGCACCGGCUAACUCCGUGCCAGCAGCCGCGGUAAUACGGAGGGUGCGAGCGUUAAUCGGAAUUACUGGGCGUAAAGCGCGCGUAGGUGGCUUGAUAAGCCGGUUGUGAAAGCCCCGGGCUCAACCUGGGAACGGCAUCCGGAACUGUCAAGCUAGAGUGCAGGAGAGGAAGGUAGAAUUCCCGGUGUAGCGGUGAAAUGCGUAGAGAUCGGGAGGAAGACCAGUGGCGAAGGCGGCCUUCUGGACUGACACUGACACUGAGGUGCGAAAGCGUGGGUAGCAAACAGGAUUAGAUACCCUUGUAGUC
Molecule: ribosomal RNA, 465 nt
Filed under: Vreelandella stevensii
Lineage: Bacteria; Pseudomonadati; Pseudomonadota; Gammaproteobacteria; Oceanospirillales; Halomonadaceae
Description: partial 16S ribosomal RNA
Rfam family: Bacterial small subunit ribosomal RNA
Source: RNAcentral